RNAcentral lists this unclassified non-coding RNA (352 nucleotides) under uncultured fungus. Its description in RNAcentral is "partial contains 5.8S ribosomal RNA and internal transcribed spacer 2". The stretch from base 1 to 133 matches the Rfam family "5.8S ribosomal RNA", at positions 22 to 154 of the family's 154-position model. The record is from RNAcentral. Lineage: Eukaryota; Fungi.
UGGUUCUGGCAUCGAUGAAGAACGCAGCCAAAUGCGAUAAGUAAUGUGAAUUGCAGAAUUCCGUGAAUCAUCGAAUCUUUGAACGCACAUUGCGCCUCUUGGUAAUCCAGGAGGCAUGCCUGUCUGAGCGUCAGUACACCAUUUAAACAAUCACUUUGUGAUAGUUUAGUCAUGGGGAUUUGAUAUUACUUCGUAAUAUCUUCUCUGUAAUGUAUUGACUGUCUGUAUAUUUUGGUCUUUAGUUGUGACAAUUUGUAUUCAACUUGAAAGAACGAUUUGUACUUGUCGCUGUUUCUAUAGAGUUUUUAACUCUUCUAACAUUGACCUCAGAUCAGGUAGGGAUACCCGCUGA